Molecule: ribosomal RNA, 739 nt
Filed under: uncultured Gammaproteobacteria bacterium
Lineage: Bacteria; Pseudomonadati; Pseudomonadota; Gammaproteobacteria
Description: bacterial SSU rRNA
Rfam family: Bacterial small subunit ribosomal RNA
Source: RNAcentral
GCAGUCGAACGGUAACAGCGGGAGCUUGCUCCCGGCUGACGAGUGGCGGACGGGUGAGUAACGCGUAGGAAUCUGCCCAGUAGUGGGGGACAACCCGGGGAAACUCGGGCUAAUACCGCAUACGCCCUACGGGGGAAAGAUGGCCUCUCCUUGGAAGCUGUCACUAUUGGAUGAGCCUGCGUCGGAUUAGCUAGUUGGUAGGGUAAAGGCCUACCAAGGCGACGAUCCGUAGCUGGUCUGAGAGGACGACCAGCCACACUGGGACUGAGACACGGCCCAGACUCCUACGGGAGGCAGCAGUGGGGAAUAUUGCACAAUGGGGGCAACCCUGAUGCAGCAAUGCCGCGUGUGUGAAGAAGGCCUGCGGGUUGUAAAGCACUUUCAAUGGGGAAGAAAAGGUGAGGGUGAAUAGCCCUUGCUCUUGACGUUACCUUUAGAAGAAGCACCGGCUAACUCCGUGCCAGCAGCCGCGGUAAUACGGAGGGUGCGAGCGUUAAUCGGAAUUACUGGGCGUAAAGCGCGCGUAGGCGGUUUGUUAAGUCAGAUGUGAAAGCCCUGGGCUCAACCUGGGAACUGCAUUUGAUACUGUCGGACUGGAGUAUGGUAGAGGGAAGUGGAAUUCCGGGUGUAGCGGUGAAAUGCGUAGAUAUCCGGAGGAACACCAGUGGCGAAGGCGACUUCCUGGACCAAUACUGACGCUGAGGUGCGAAAGCGUGGGUAGCAAACAGGAUUAGAUACC